AAACUGUAAGAGGGGGAUGGGUGUAGAAACAGCUGUUCUGGAGCUCCAGGGAAGGCUGAUGACAGCAGGAAGGAAAGAGCACACAGCACGGCAGGAGCAGAGAGUCAGUUUCCAUGAUGAAUUUGAGGACGAAGAGCAACUUUUUUGGCAAGAAGUUCACUGUCCUGGUAAACACGAUAAAGGAGGCCUCAUGAGAAGAUCUGGCUCUGACUGUCCCGAGGACACUAGAUUCACCAGGAGCACCCUGUCAGCGUGGCUCCACCAUGGAGGGUAACAACCCAAACAUGUAACACACCUGGGUCCUCUGGCUACAGAUAAGCAUAGAAUAAAAGUAG
Molecule: long non-coding RNA, 335 nt
Filed under: Lepisosteus oculatus (spotted gar)
Lineage: Eukaryota; Metazoa; Chordata; Actinopteri; Semionotiformes; Lepisosteidae
Description: lncRNA (ENSLOCG00000022607.1)
Source: RNAcentral